UACGGAGGGGGCUAGCGUUGUUCGGAAUUACUGGGCGUAAAGCGCACGUAGGCGGCGACUCAAGUCAGAGGUGAAAGCCCGGGGCUCAACCCCGGAACUGCCUUUGAAACUAGGUCGCUAGAAUCUUGGAGAGGUCAGUGGAAUUCCGAGUGUAGAGGUGAAAUUCGUAGAUAUUCGGAAGAACACCAGUGGCGAAGGCGACUGACUGGACAAGUAUUGACGCUGAGGUGCGAAAGCGUGGGGAGCAAACAGG
RNAcentral lists this ribosomal RNA (253 nucleotides) under uncultured bacterium. Its description in RNAcentral is "partial 16S ribosomal RNA". It matches the Rfam family "Bacterial small subunit ribosomal RNA", at positions 524 to 776 of the family's 1533-position model. The record is from RNAcentral.